AGAGUUUGAUCCUGGCUCAGAAUGAACGCUUUCAAUAUGCUUUACACAUGCAAGUUUUAUUUUAUUAUAAAGCGAACGGGUGAGUAAUAUGCAAGAAUCUACCCUUUAAAGGAAUGAAGGAUGAGCUUGUACCUAAUUAGUUAGUUGGUUGGAUAAAAGCUUACCAAGACUUCGAUUAGUAGUUGAUCUGUGAGGAUGUUCAACCACACUAGGAUUGAGAUAAGGCCUAGACUUUUUUUAUUGUCAGCAGUGGGGAAUAUUUCGCAAUGAGCCUUUUGGCUUGACGAAGCAAUAUUGAGUUAAUUUGAAUAUAUUUUAAAAAUAUAUUCAAGUUUAUUUCCUAAAAGAUUAGUCAAGAAGUUUAUUUUAGGAAAAGUAUCGGCUAAUAUUUGUGCCAGCAGCCGCGGUAAUACAAAGGAUGCUAGCGUUAUUCGGUUUAAUUGGGCGUAAAAGGUUAAUAGAUGUUUUAUUAAGUCAUAAGUUAAAUUCCUAUAAAAUAAAUUUAUAGUGAGUGCUUAUGAAACUAAUGAAAUAGAGUAUUCUGAGAAAAAGGUAUAUAUAAUUUUUUUUGUAAUAGUAAAAUGUAAAAAUAAAAAGAGGAAUAUCGAAAGGUGAAGACAGUAUACUAAAAGAAUACUGACAUUGACUUAACGAAAACUAUGGUAUCAAAUGGGAUUAGAGACCCCAGUAGUCGUAGUCGUAAAAUAUGAAUACUAGAAUAAAGAUAUUUAUUCAGGUUAACACUAAAGUAUUCUGCCUGGGAAGUACGUUCGAAAGAAUGGAACUCAAAGGAAUUGGCGUGGAUCCUAAUUAAUGAUGGAGUAUGUGGUUUAAUUUGAUAAUGCGCACUAAAUCUUACCAAUUUUUACGUUAAGUAAAGGUGGUGCAUGGCUGUUUGUAAGUUCGUGUUGUGAAAUGUUAAGUUCAGUCUUAGAACGAACGAAACCCUUUCGUAACUUUUUUUCUUAAUUUUUUAGUUAUUUAUGUCCAUAAAUACAACAAUUAAUAGGAAAAUGGAGGAAGAAGAGGACCAUAACAAGUCAACAUGCCCCUUAUAAAUUGGGCUACUCGCGUACUACAAUGGAUUAUAUAAUAUGAAAAAUUUUUUUAUAAAAAUAAAAUAUUCCUUAGUUCGGAUUGAUGGUUGAAACUUACUUUCAUGAAGUUGGAAUCAUUAGUAAUCGCAUAGUAGAGUUGUGCGGUGAAUUAGAUUAGGUUUUUUUUUAAGAACCUUUUCGUAUAAGGAUCUUGUACACACUGCCCGUCACGUUCCGGUUAAAAAGUUGCAAAAGUUCUUUAUUUCUAGGGAAUAAAAGUAAUAGUUUUAGCUGUAAUGAAGUCGUAACAAGGUAGCCGUACUGGAAGGUGUGGCU
RNAcentral lists this ribosomal RNA (1373 nucleotides) under Pilostyles aethiopica. Its description in RNAcentral is "16S ribosomal RNA". It matches the Rfam family "Bacterial small subunit ribosomal RNA". Lineage: Eukaryota; Viridiplantae; Streptophyta; Magnoliopsida; Cucurbitales; Apodanthaceae. The record is from RNAcentral.